AAUUUUGGACAAUGGGGGGAACCCUGAUCCGGCCAUCCCGCGUGUGUGAUGAAGGCCUUCGGGUUGUAAAGCACUUUUGACAGGGGAGAAACAGCACUGGUUAAUACCCAGUGCAAAUGACGGUACCUGCAGAAUAAGCACCGGCUAACUACGUCCCAGCAGCCGCGGUAAUACGUAGGGUGCAAGCGUUAAUCGGAAUUACUGGGCGUAAAGCGUGCGCAGGCGGAUUGGCAAGAAGGAUGUGAAAUCCCAGGGCUUAACCUUGGAACUGCAUUCUUAACUGCCAGGCUAGAGUAUGUCAGAGGGGGGUAGAAUUCCGCGUGUAGCAGUGAAAUGCGUAGAGAUGCGGAGGAAUACCGAUGGCGAAGGCAGCCCCCUGGGAUAAUACUGACGCUCAUGCACGAAAGCGUGGGGAGCAAACAG
This 423-nucleotide ribosomal RNA is filed under the name uncultured bacterium. Its description in RNAcentral is "partial 16S ribosomal RNA". It matches the Rfam family "Bacterial small subunit ribosomal RNA", at positions 360 to 775 of the family's 1533-position model. The record is from RNAcentral.